AAAGAACUGAAACCACAGAAAAGUGCUGUGUCAGGUAUGUAUUUAAGUAAAAGUAGUGAGACAUCUGCCUUACUGGGACACUCAGAUCCAACUGGGUUCUAAUCCUGGCUACAUUAUCCAAGUACUUCCUUUGGAAAUAAAUUUGAGUUCUUAUUAACAUUACGUUGAUACUGUUCACUGGGUUUAGUUUCACAUGUAAAUAGGUACUGCAUUCAGUAUACUCAAAGUAAUCAUAGUGCUUGCCAGGUACUUUGCUAGGUGCUAGAGAUACAAAAAAUAAAAACUGUUCUUGCUGAUAAAAAAAUCAAAAAUUAGAACAAAGUUUUAAGAGUGUUUUAAAUAUUCCAGAAAAGUCACAUAUUUGGUGUUUAAAUAGGAAUUCAUACCAGGGACAAAGCAGAAAAUGGAUUUUCAUGUGUUGCUUAAAUGUACUAUUUUCCUUUCCAUUUCAAAUAAUAGACCUUGAAGCUGAUGAUGCUAAGGACAGUAUACCACUGUCUUCAAGCCCUCCUGCUACACGUUUCCCAGAUGAAACUGAAAUUACAAACCCAGUUCCUAAAAAGAAUGUGACAGUGAAGAAGACAGCAGCAAAAAGUCAGUCUUCCACCUCCACUACCGGUGCCAAAAAAAGGGCUGCCCCAAAAGGAACUAAAAGGGAUCCAGCUUUGAAUUCUGGUGUCUCUCAAAAGCCUGAUCCUGCCAAAACCAAGAAUCGCCGCAAAAGGAAGCCAUCCACUUCUGAUGAUUCUGACUCUAAUUUUGAGAAAAUUGUUUCAAAAGCAGUCACAAGCAAGAAAUCCAAGGGGGAGAGUGAUGACUUCCAUAUGGACUUUGACUCAGCUGUGGCUCCUCGGGCAAAAUCUGUACGGGCAAAGAAACC
This 880-nucleotide small RNA is filed under the name Pongo abelii (Sumatran orangutan). RNAcentral describes it as "retained intron". The record is from RNAcentral. Lineage: Eukaryota; Metazoa; Chordata; Mammalia; Primates; Hominidae.